AGUUGGGUCUCUCUCUCCCCACUCCCUCCAUUACUAUCCCCACCAACGCAAAUCAACACCAAUUCCCAACCGAUAUGAGCAACGAAAAACCCUAGGCGUCGAUUUCAUCCUAUUUUGCUGAGGACGAUGAGUCUGAGAGUUUAGGCGACUGGUUUCGAAGGUUGUUUUGGUUGUUUGUCGGCGACGGGAGGUGUGCAUUUUAGCCAUCGCGAUUUCGCCAUCUAUUUUGAAGGAAUUUUGGACGAAUUAAGUUGUAUUAUGGGGUGAAAAUAAAGGCCACGACUGAGCCGGAAGAGGAACAUGAUAUCCAUUAUGAAGACGAGAGGUAUUUUGUAAACAUACUUGAGCAGCCAGUGUGCCACCUAUGGACACAUGUUGGCCAAAGCGAAAACUAAGGUGGUUCCCAUGAAGUGGCGAACUAAAAACAAUAGCGCCGACUGUAUAUUGUUUAGAAUGAGGUACAUGGAAACCUAUAUAGGGACCAAACUUGCAGAUUGUAAUUGUGAUCUUACAAGUAAGAUCUCAAAGGCGUUCCAACUACUAUGUGCGAAGUUCGGUUCACAAUAGUUUACUACAGCGAUAACACGGUCGUUGAUACCAUGAUGAGUAUAACCUCCAUGCACUUUGAGGAGGGGCUAAUGAAGGACCUAUUGAGGUGGAUAAGAUGGUCUCGAAGUAUGGAAAUGUGUUGUAUUAGAAGAAUAAACUGUAUUUUAUUAUUUUUUGGCAUUAGAAAAUAUGGAAGGAUUGAUUUUGGUUAUCCCAGGCAUACUUCUACCAUGUUAAUCGAAAACCUGUCAUUUCUAA
Long non-coding RNA from Salvia hispanica, 807 nucleotides. RefSeq lists it as uncharacterized. NCBI's taxonomy places the organism in Eukaryota, Viridiplantae, Streptophyta, Magnoliopsida, Lamiales, Lamiaceae. The record is from RefSeq and is a predicted model, not a curated record.